Small nucleolar RNA from Trichechus manatus latirostris (Florida manatee), 73 nucleotides. NCBI's taxonomy places the organism in Eukaryota, Metazoa, Chordata, Mammalia, Sirenia, Trichechidae. The record is from RefSeq and is a predicted model, not a curated record.
GUGUGAUCAAAUCACCCAGAAUAGCUGGAAUUACUGGCAGAAGGUGUAGUGGUGAACCUACGGUUUUCUGAAG